RNAcentral lists this long non-coding RNA (443 nucleotides) under Elaeis guineensis (African oil palm). Its description in RNAcentral is "long non-coding RNA (EGUI_LNC061264)". The record is from RNAcentral. Lineage: Eukaryota; Viridiplantae; Streptophyta; Magnoliopsida; Arecales; Arecaceae.
GGGAUGAUCUCCUUUACCUUUUCUAGAUAAUUGGCCAUACUGUCCUCUUGAGCUUCAUAAUUUUUGCUGACCUAUCCCACUACUAAUUGAGAGUCACUAUAGGCUUGAAGCCGAUCUACUUCUAACUCUUUGGCGAUCCUUAGUCCCGCAAUCAGAGCUUCAUAUUCUGCCCCGUUAUUUGUCACAGAGAAUUCAAAGUGCAGUGCAUACUCCACGAUAAUUCCAUUUGGAUUGACCAAGACCAGGCUCGUGCCUGUACCUGAUAUGUUGGAGGAAUCAUCCACGUAGAGGGCUCAAAAACCAUCAGGGAGAUCUGUUCUUUCUCCAGGAGAGUUCGGCUGGAGCCCUAGGUUGUCGGCUUCAUCUCAUCCAAGUUCGGCCUCUUUUGGGAUAGUGCAUUCCACCACGAAGUCUGCUAAUAUCUGGGUUUUUAUCACCAACUG